RNAcentral lists this ribosomal RNA (253 nucleotides) under uncultured bacterium. RNAcentral's name for it is "partial 16S ribosomal RNA". It matches the Rfam family "Bacterial small subunit ribosomal RNA", at positions 524 to 776 of the family's 1533-position model. The record is from RNAcentral.
UACGGAGGGGGCUAGCGUUGUUCGGAAUUACUGGGCGUAAAGCGCACGUAGGCGGCUUUGUAAGUUAGAGGUGAAAGCCCGGAGCUCAACUCCGGAAUUGCCUUUAAGACUGCAUCGCUUGAACAUCGGAGAGGUAAGUGGAAUUCCGAGUGUAGAGGUGAAAUUCGUAGAUAUUCGGAAGAACACCAGUGGCGAAGGCGACUUACUGGACGAUUGUUGACGCUGAGGAGCGAAAGCGUGGGGAGCAAACAGG